Molecule: RNA transcript, 5086 nt
Organism: Olea europaea var. sylvestris
Lineage: Eukaryota; Viridiplantae; Streptophyta; Magnoliopsida; Lamiales; Oleaceae
Exons: 4
Source: RefSeq, a predicted model, not a curated record
AUGUGAUUUGAUGUGGAUGGUGAUUUGGGCCAUACAAUGUGCUCUCUAGAAGGUGACCAUGAGGUACCAGCGCCUACAGUGCGUGUAGAUGAGGCCAGAUCAGUGCGCAACCCUCCUUAGUAAAGGCUUUCUUCGCAUAUGCAACAUAUUAUUGAGUUGUGUGAGCAGGUUGCUGCCCUUUCCCAGCUGUUCGAUUUGUAUAGGGCAGAGUUAGAACGACGAUUGGAGGAGGUAGAGCGGCUUUUGGUGAAGGCACUUCGGCAUUUGGAUGAGUUCGAGCGUCGUCACACUGACAUCAUGCAUGCACUAGUGAACAUCUCAUGCACGGUAUCUUUUAUGCCCACUACCGUCACCACCUCUUUAGUAUCAGGUCAGCCACAGACAUCACCUACUAUUGGUUGUAGUGAUCAGAUCACAGGAUCGAGCCCUAUAGAUACUGCAUCAAUCGAUAUUCCCGCAGCCAGUGAUCUGAUUCUUCUACCCAAAGGGAACAAGCUGAAGAUCCAUGAACCUUUUACUCCCUUUAUUUCGAAGAAGAGCAAAGGGUAGUAUGUUUUAAAUCGAAAAUUGUUUUCUUUAUUCGAAAAUAUUUUGAUGUUUUUGGGGGAAAAACCCAGAAUUUUGCAGGAGAACAUUGCUGUGGAGAUUAGGAGCAAUGACUUUUCUUCGUUCCAAGAUAAGAAAAGGUAGCCUGUGGAGGAAGACCUAACCGACUCACAACACAAAGAUAUUGGAAAUCAACUGGCUGUGAAGAGGGCAAAACAAAACAAAACUUUGAAAAUAGCAAAAUAUAAAUAAUCAUAAUAUUUCUAAUUUCAUUAACAAAAUCUAUCAUUAACAGAAGUGUCUAGAACUAUCGAACAAGUUUGGACAAAAAGUCAACGAUUCAUUAACAAAAGUCUCUAGAUCUAUCAAACAAGUUUGGACAAAAAGUCAAAAGAUAAACUAAAUAUAAAUUUUUCUCAACUGAAAUUGGAGUUGACCAGCAAUGGUGAGAUACCUCACCAUUUCUUCGUCUUGGCAGAAAUCCUCGAGUACCAACCACAACGGAGUAUUUUAUUUUCUACACUUAGCAUUUUUGCAACUAUUUCUUCGAUUUUUACUUUGACAACGUAUAAAGUAAGAUCUACUUUCAAAUCUUUAAUAGUAAUUAGAUCCAUGCAUUCAUCUCCAAAAAAGACCGUGAGGGAAGAUUUUUUCUUUUUGAUGUAGUUCACGACAAGAAUCCUGCUCUUCAGAAAGUUUAGAAAUUUUCAUGAAGGAGGUUUGGAUUUACGGUUGUUUGCAUGAUGACGACUCAACUAUUGGAAAAUCAACUCGUAUUCCCCAGUAGAGAUAACCAAGGUAUUCAAGAAGACACCCCCCUUCAGAUGGGAAUUUUGUAUUGACUUUGAAUCCUAUCAUCUUCCUUUCUUUCUCUUCUUGGAUCCAUUUCUCCAUUAUCAUUUUGUCAGUUGUCACUGUGGUGGUAGUAAUUAAUUUUUUCCGGCCAAGUGGACAAAUAACCUCAUGUUUUUUGAGCUUUCUGGCCAUUUUGAUAGGGGGAGGAGUUAAACAUGGUUUUACACACAAGGUAUUCAUGGUUGGAAGAUAUUUAGUGGAGGAAGAGUACGAGGAAUAGUGAGUGAGUGAGUGAAUGGGUAAAGUGAAGUGGAACAAUAUACAGAUGAAAUGUUCAGGGUGAGGGGCUCAUCUUUUUAAAAUGGAUUUUGUUUGUCCCUAUAACUAUUUUUUACCUCUUUGGCUUUAGUUCUGAUCAACAUAUUAUUUUGCCUAGGUGGCAAUAGGGACAGCAUGAUGAAAAGACACUUUAUGAUCUUUUUUUAUUCUGUUCGUUCAGAAUCAAAGUUUACUGAGAAUGUCUAUUGAAUUAAAUUUUUAGGAUGAUUCCGGGUCAUGUUGGUUUAGGUUGAAUUAGUUUUAGUGCUUUUAAGUUACAUACCCCACGUUCUUUAGCAAUAAAACAAAUAUAUAUACAUCUUGAAAACAAAAGUUAUGAAUUAAAAUCAAGUUUGACUAGAAAAGUAGGUGAUCUCUAGUGUUUGGGCAUUGAAACCUGGUCGAAAUCAUCCUCAAAACUUAAUUCAUUAGACAUUCGCAAUAAAUUUUGAUUCUGAACGAACCGAUUCAUACAAUAUCUUUUUAUCAUGUUGUCGUUAUUGCCGCCUAGGCAAAAUAACAUGUUGAUCAGAACUAAGGUCAAAGAAAUUAAAAUUAGUUAUGAGGACAAACAAAAUCCCUUUUAAAAAAGAUGAACGUCUCACUCUGAACAUUUCAUCUGUACAUAACUCCACUUCAUCUUCCCCAUUCACUCUAUCACUGUUCCUCUUACUCUUCCUCAACUAAAUCUCUUCCAAAUAUGAAUACUUUGUGUGUAAAAUCAUGCUUAACCCCUCCCCUAUCAAAAUGGCUAGAAACCUAAAAAAACAUGAGGUUAUUUGUCCACUUGGCCCAAAAAAAUUAAUUACUACAACCACAGUUACUACUGACAAAAUGAUAAUGAAAAAAUGGUUUUGGGAAGAGAAGGAAAGUAAAAUGAUAAGUUUCAACAUCAACACAAAAUUUCCUACUGAAGGGGGUGACUUCUUGAAUAUCUUGGUUAUUUUGGAGGGAAUACGAGUUGAUUUUUCGAUAUUCAAGUCCUAAUCAUGCAAACAAUUGUAACUUCAAACCUCCUUCAUGGAAACAUCUAAACUUUUUGAAGAGUAAGAUUCUUGUCCGGAACAACAAGAAGAAAAAAUCUUCCAUCGCUACCUUUUUUUAGAGAUAGAGGCAAGGAUCUAAUUGAUAUUAACGAUUUGAAAGUAGAUCUUGCUUUGUACGUUGUUGAAGUAAAACUCGAAACCAUUGCAAAAAUACUGGGUAUAGAAAAUAGAAUAUUUCUUUGCGGUUGGGCACUCGGAGUAUUUCUGUCAAUACGAAGAAAUGGUGAGGUAUCUCACCAUUACUGGUCAACUCCAAUUUCAGUUGGGAAAAAUUUAUAUUUAAUCUUUUUUGACCUUUGUCCAAACUUGUUUGAUAGUUUUAGAGGCUUUUGUUAAUGAAUUGUUGACAUUUUGUCCAAACUUGUUUAAUAGUUUUAGAGACUUCUGUUAAUAAUAUAUUUUGUUAAUGAAAUAAUAUUAUUAUUUAUAUUUUGUUAUUUUCAAAUUUUAGUUUUGUUUUGUUAUUUUCACAGCCAGUUGCUAUCCUUGUUGAGCCGGUUAAGUCUUUCUCCACAGGCUACCCUUUCUUGUCUUGGAACGAAGAAAAGCCAUUGCUCUAAUAUCCAUGACAACAUUCUCCUAUUGUUUAUAUACAUAUCCGUGAAUACUAAAAUACAUAACUAAGAAAUUUGAAAAUGAUGAUCCUUGUAAUAUGUUAGGGUAACAAUAACGCGAAGAAGUUCACGAAUGGAAAUGAUCUUAACUAUCACGCAAAUUAAUUAACCUUUUAAAUGGAAAUUUUAUCCGUACUCGGCAAUACGGCUAUUGGAUUGACAUUAUGAAAUGUGUCUCUCUUUGUAUAGUCAAUAGUCUUCCGUCAAAUUUUUCCUUUGUAUAACAAACACUUUUAUUUUAUAUGAUGAAAAAUAUUUGCAAUCAAAUGCAGCCUAAUUUAAGUGGCUUUUUCCAGGAAAGGAAGAUAAAAAAUGUCAAACUUGGGAAAUUAUAGUUUCUAGAAAGUGAUGGAAGGGUGGUAGAGGCUUUUCUUUGGGAAGUCUGAUGAUUCUCAAGUACUAGCUAGUAGGUAUAAUAAUUGCCAUCAACAUGCUUAAGGAUACCCGUCUAGACGUAUUGCUAGGAUAACUCAAUAUGCAUUUGAUAGAAUGGGAAAAAAGGUGAUUGGGUCUAAAAGGACUCUAUAUUUUUUCAAGAAAACAAGCUAUUUAUAUUCAGUAUAUAAUUUUUGUUUGUUGUAGUACAUUUAUUUGCAAUGAUCAUUAAUCUUUACUCAUAUCACAUUUAUGUGAUUUCCUUGUUCUUUUGUUCUUCUCUGUCUUCCUGAAGUUAUUAUCAUUUUGUGGGCGCCAAUACCCUUCUCAUUGACGUCUCACUGGAAAUUUGGUUCUUACAUCUCAUUAGGCCUUUAGGAAGAUAUAUUUGUUUUCAUCAGCCCUAAGCACUUUCCUUCUGCUUGGUGAUGCGGACUUUGGUUUAAUAGCUUUUGAGAGAGCAUUUCUGACACUCUUCGUGCAUCUAUGGAAAACAAUAGAACAUUUUUUUGUAUGUCGUUUUGCAAUACAAUUAUGAGUAUACCUUCGACAUUAAAAUAUAUCUUAUGCGUGGGAUCGGUGGCAGUAAAUGAUGACUUCUUUAUGGUAGAACUGGCUCUCUGCAGUUGUAAUUUUCUACUCUUUGGGGGUAUAUCCAGGGAUGUUCUCAUAUUGUGUAGUGAUAGGUCUUCAUUUACCCGUGACAACCCUCUUGCCAUUGUUUUAAGCUUUCAGAGCUCACUCGGCAGUUUUAACAGUUGAUAAGCUUAUCCAGCUGCAGAAUGUUUGGCAAUGGUAUAAACAGAGCUUGGCACCAGCUUAAAUCUUGGUGGUAACACUCAGGAUGUUAUUCAGAAAUACUAUGAAGCUAUCAAAAUUGACCCACACUAUGCUGUAGAUUCAUGUUUCUUGGCUUCCUUAUUUGGAAUGCCAAGUUACUUUGAUUUUGCUAUUCAGGUGUGGUGGCUUUCUUAUUACAGCCUGCUUAUUACAACAUUGGUGUUGUCUAUUCUGAACCACCCUGAACUGCUAUGAGAGAGAUGCCCAUGUAUGCUGAAGCAUAUUGCAACAUGGGCGUUAUCUAUAAAAAUCGUGAGGAUUUGGAGUCUGCAAUUGCCUGUUAUGAGAGGUCAAAUUGGAGGGUGAUAUCAGCCAAGGUGUGGCAUAGUAUAAUUGGCACUAUGCUGAUGCUAUGUACAACAUAGGGGUUGCUUAUGGAGAAACGCUGGAGUUUGUCAUGGUCAUUGGGUAUAAAAAUCGCGUCAUAGGGCAAACAGCAAACUGUAGAAGAUAAUCUUGUGACAAGAUGCUUCCUGGAUAAUCUUGUAAUCUUGUAAUAAUUUUGUACAUCAAGUAGAAGAAUAAAAUGAAAUACAAUGUUAAUUUCUGCUA